AGACUGCCGGUAAUAAACCGGAGGAAGGUGGGGAUGACGUCAAAUCAUCAUGCCCCUUAUGACCUGGGCUACACACGUGCUACAAUGGCUGGUACAACGAGUCGCAAGCCGGUGACGGCAAGCUAAUCUCUUAAAGCCAGUCUCAGUUCGGAUUGUAGGCUGCAACUCGCCUACAUGAAGUCGGAAUCGCUAGUAAUCGCGGAUCAGCACGCCGCGGUGAAUACGUUCCCGGGCCUUGUACACACCGCCCGUCACACCACGAGAGUUUGUAACACCCGAAGUCGGUGAGGUAACCGUAAGGAGCCAGCCGCCUAAGGUGGGAUAGAUGAUUGGGGUGAAGUCGUAACAAGGUAGCCGUAUCGGAAGGUGCG
This 371-nucleotide ribosomal RNA is filed under the name Klebsiella pneumoniae. RNAcentral describes it as "bacterial SSU rRNA". It matches the Rfam family "Bacterial small subunit ribosomal RNA", at positions 1146 to 1516 of the family's 1533-position model. The record is from RNAcentral. Lineage: Bacteria; Pseudomonadati; Pseudomonadota; Gammaproteobacteria; Enterobacterales; Enterobacteriaceae.